ACAUGAGCCUCAGGCAGACCUCAGGUGCGGGGCCUGAGCUGGCCUCUCCUGCUGUUGCUACUGCUGCUGCUUGAGCUGCUGGCCUCAGGAGUGCAGGAAACAUGGGGUCACUGGGGAACUGAGAACAGCCACACUGGCAUAGUCGACACCUUUUGCUGGAGCAUCCAUAGCCUGUUAUGAAAAGGCAAUAUCUGCUGCUCAAAAGAUCUUGACCUGGCUCACCAAGAGGUUUGUGUUGGGAGUACAUAUGUUUCUACGGACAUUGUGGAGAGUCUAGUAAGAGCUUUUGGAUGUUCUUGGACUUGACAUCUCCAACCUGUCCCAGCAUUUCAACCCAGCCUCAGUGGCCAGCAGCCUAGCCUAGGCCCUUCUUUUGGUCAGUGCCAGCUGCUUGGCCUACUGAUUCUAGUUUCUGACCCCGGACAUAACCUUCAAAGCACUGCAUCUGGUGUUCAGCACUUCUUCUGGAUCGUGUGGACCAUCCUGUUCUCCAGGUCCUGCAAGCACAUUCUGCACAAGGAUAAGGGUGAGGAAUGAGGUGCUCCCUGUGCUUCACAGUAAAGUCCACCUUAUGACCUGGCCCAUGGGCUUUUACAGGCAUGGCAGCUCUACUGUAAAUAAGAAGCUGGAGCACCUGAGAACAAGGUCAGACUUUUCAACAUUUGCCUCAACAGGGGGCUAAAAAUUCUCCACUGCUCCAAAGAAGCGUAAAGGUUAGCCAACCCAUUCUAAAAGCUAAGCCUUGGAAUUCUGUUGAAAAUCACUCAGCCAUAAAAUAAAAGACACCUGAGAAGAUUCCUAAACUCACUCUGGGAAAGAGAAAGUAUAGACGGGGUUCAUCAUAUUAGCCAGGCUGCUCUCGAACUCCUCACCUCGUCAUCCACCCACCUCGACCUCCCAAAGUGCUGGGAUUAAAGGCGUGACCCACCGCGCCCGGCCGACUCUCCUGUUUCUAAUAGACCAAAAGAGGGACUAGAAAUGCCACGGACCAAAGCUCUUCCCAUUCAUGAAACUGCAUCACGAGUCAGGAUUCUCUCCUGACGACCCUCCUGUGGCCCCUGCACAAUUUGGGAGAGACGCCGCGCUGCGGCUGCAGAGGUGCCCACAGAGGGCUGCAAGCCGGGACACAGUCACUGCGCAGAGAAGAGACAGGACGCCCGGGGCCGCCUCCCAGAGCAGCCGCCAUCUUAUGGCUGAAGGGGAUUGAGGCCGAGCUGGGCAAGAACUCCGGCACGCGCAGAUUGUGGAGCUGACUGCGGGAAGGCCUGAGUCACGCCACAGCCCCUUCCCCCUCUCGGGAUGUCAGACCGGCACUCUCACCAUUUCUAGGCUUCCGGGGGGUCCUGGCGUCUUAGCUGUGGAUCCCCCAAUACCUGCAGGUCACAGAGCCACAGAGGCUGGACCUCUAGCAGCAGAGGACACAGAAGACUGAAGACGAGAAGCGGAGCUCCAACUGCAGCCAAAGGCCCCGCCACAUCCCGGAAGCCACCCUGUCCUCUCCUGCCCCGUGCCUGAUUGGAUGGUUUCCAGCCCAGCGUCCCUGAUUGGAUAACUUCUAAGGUCCUGCCCCCGCAAACCCUGAAUGAAAGAUGUGAUCAGACGCUGGGCUGAAAGAAUAAAGAAUGACAGCCUA
Molecule: long non-coding RNA, 1633 nt
Organism: Pan troglodytes (chimpanzee)
Lineage: Eukaryota; Metazoa; Chordata; Mammalia; Primates; Hominidae
Exons: 3
Source: RefSeq, a predicted model, not a curated record